Molecule: ribosomal RNA, 668 nt
Filed under: uncultured bacterium
Lineage: Bacteria
Description: bacterial SSU rRNA
Rfam family: Bacterial small subunit ribosomal RNA
Source: RNAcentral
GCGUACCUCCCGGCUUCGGUCGGGUAGGGAAGCGGCAGACGGCUGAGUAACGCGUGAGUAAUUUGCCCUCCGGUGGGGUAUAGCCUCGGGAAACUGUGGGUAAUCCCGCAUUCGAUCCUUCCUCCCUGGAGGAAGGAGGAAAGCCUUCGGGCGCCGGAGGAGAAGCUCGCGUCCUAUCAGGUAGUUGGUGAGGUAACGGCUCACCAAGCCGAUGACGGGUAGCUGGUCUGAGAGGACGACCAGCCAGAGGGGGACUGAGACACGGCCCCCACUCCUACGGGAGGCAGCAGCAGGGAAUUUUGGGCAAUGGGCGAAAGCCUGACCCAGCGACGUCGCGUGGGGGAUGAAGGCCUUAGGGCUGUAAACCCCUUUUCCGGGGGAAGAGGAAGGACGGUACCUCGGGAAUAAGCUCCGGCUAACUACGUGCCAGCAGCCGCGGUAAUACGUAGGGAGCAAGCGUUACCCGGAAUUACUGGGCGUAAAGAGAUCGUAGGCGGCUAGGCAAGUCUCUUGUGAAAGCUCCCGGCUUAACUGGGAGAGGUCAAGGGAUACUACCUGACUUGAGGGCAGUAGAGGAAGGCGGAAUUCCCGGUGUAGCGGUGAAAUGCGUAGAUAUCGGGAGGAACGCCAGUGGCGAAAGCGGCCUUCUGGGCUGUGCCUGACGCUGA